AUUGAACGCUGGCGGCAGGCCUAACACAUGCAAGUCGAACGGUAACAGGAAGAAGCUUGCUUCUUUGCUGACGAGUGGCGGACGGGUGAGCAAUGUCUGGGAAACUGCCUGAUGGAGGGGGAUAACUACUGGAAACGGUAGCUAAUACCGCAUAAUGUCGCAAGACCAAAGAGGGGGACCUUCGGGCCUCUUGCCAUCGGAUGUGCCCAGAUGGGAUUAGCUAGUAGGUGGGGUAACGGCUCACCUAGGCGACGAUCCGUAGCUGGUCUGAGAGGAUGAACAGCCACACUGGAACUGAGACACGGUCCAGACUCCUACGGGAGGCAGCAGUGGGGAAUAUUGGACAAUGGGCGCAAGCCUGAUGCAGCUAUGCCGCGUGUAUGAAGAAGGCCUUCGGGUUGUAAAGUACUUUCAGCGGGGAGGAAGGGAGUAAAGUUAAUACCUUUGCUCAUUGACGUUACCCGCAGAAGAAGCACCGGCUAACUCCGUG
Molecule: ribosomal RNA, 490 nt
Filed under: uncultured bacterium
Lineage: Bacteria
Description: partial 16S ribosomal RNA
Rfam family: Bacterial small subunit ribosomal RNA
Source: RNAcentral